GGACAUGUGCCCGAGAAUUAAGGGUCACUUUGAUAGAGUGUAUUACAGGGGUGAAAGUCCCCUCAUCUCCU
This 71-nucleotide transfer RNA is filed under the name Leiocephalus schreibersii. RNAcentral describes it as "tRNA-Ile". The record is from RNAcentral. Lineage: Eukaryota; Metazoa; Chordata; Lepidosauria; Squamata; Leiocephalidae.